This 70-nucleotide transfer RNA is filed under the name Streptomyces sulfonofaciens. Its description in RNAcentral is "tRNA-Arg". The record is from RNAcentral. Lineage: Bacteria; Bacillati; Actinomycetota; Actinomycetes; Kitasatosporales; Streptomycetaceae.
GCUCCCGCGCCCCGGGGCCCGCACCGGUUCCGAGCCGGGGCCCGCACCGGUUCCGCACCGGUUGGGAGCC